RNAcentral lists this ribosomal RNA (375 nucleotides) under Bacillus subtilis. RNAcentral's name for it is "bacterial SSU rRNA". It matches the Rfam family "Bacterial small subunit ribosomal RNA", at positions 57 to 423 of the family's 1533-position model. Lineage: Bacteria; Bacillati; Bacillota; Bacilli; Caryophanales; Bacillaceae. The record is from RNAcentral.
GCAGUCGAGCGGACAGAUGGGAGCUUGCUCCCUGAUGUUAGCGGCGGACGGGUGAGUAACACGUGGGCAACCUGCCUGUAAGACUGGGAUAACUCCGGGAAACCGGAGCUAAUACCGGAUGCUUGUUUGAACCUCAUGGUUCAUACAUAAAAGGUGGCUUCGGCUACCACUUACAGAUGGACCCGCGGCGCAUUAGCUAGUUGGUGAGGUAACGGCUCACCAAGGCAACGAUGCGUAGCCGACCUGAGAGGGUGAUCGGCCACACUGGGACUGAGACACGGCCCAGACUCCUACGGGAGGCAGCAGUAGGGAAUCUUCCGCAAUGGACGAAAGUCUGACGGAGCAACGCCGCGUGAGUGAUGAAGGUUUUCGGAU